GAUGAACGCUAGCGGCAGGCUUAAUACAUGCAAGUCGAGGGGCAUCAAGGUACACGAAAGUGUAUUGUUGGCGACCGGCGGACGGGUGAGUAAUAGGUAGGUAACCUACCUCAUACUGAGGCAUAGCUGGGAGAAAUUCCAGGUAAUUCCUCAUGAGGUUAUAUGACACAUGUGAUAUAAUCAAAGGUAUCGCAAGGUACUGGUAUGAGAUGGGCUUACUGACCAUUAGCUAGUUGGUGAGAUAAGAGCUCACCAAGGCGAAGAUGGUUAGGGGUUUUGAGAGAGAGAUCCCCCACAUUGGGACUGAGACACGGCCCAGACUCCUACGGGAGGCAGCAGUGGGGAAUAUUAGUCAAUGGGGGAACCCUGAACUAGCAACGCCGCGUGAAGGAAGAAGGUCUUCGGAUUGUAAACUUUUGUCUUCAGGGACGAAACAAAUGACGGUACCUGAGGAGGAAGCCACGGCUAACUACGUGCCAGCAGCCGCGGUAAAGAGUAGUACAC
RNAcentral lists this ribosomal RNA (504 nucleotides) under uncultured bacterium. RNAcentral describes it as "bacterial SSU rRNA". It matches the Rfam family "Bacterial small subunit ribosomal RNA", at positions 28 to 535 of the family's 1533-position model. The record is from RNAcentral.